This 441-nucleotide ribosomal RNA is filed under the name uncultured bacterium. RNAcentral describes it as "partial 16S ribosomal RNA". It matches the Rfam family "Bacterial small subunit ribosomal RNA", at positions 338 to 795 of the family's 1533-position model. The record is from RNAcentral.
CCUACGGGAGGCAGCAGUGGGGAAUAUUGCACAAUGGGGGAAACCCUGAUGCAGCGACGCCGCGUGAGUGAAGAAGUAUUUCGGUAUGUAAAGCUCUAUCAGCAGGGAAGAAAAAAGACGGUACCCCUUGAAUAAGCCACGGCUAACUACGUGCCAGCAGCCGCGGUAAUACGUAGGUGGCAAGCGUUGUCCGGAUUUACUGGGUGUAAAGGGCGUGCAGCCGGAGAGACAAGUCAGAUGUGAAAUCCACGGGCUCAACCCGUGAACUGCAUUUGAAACUGUUUCCCUUGAGUGUCGGAGAGGUAAUCGGAAUUCCUUGUGUAGCGGUGAAAUGCGUAGAUAUAAGGAAGAACACCAGUGGCGAAGGCGGAUUACUGGACGAUAACUGACGGUGAGGCGCGAAAGCGUGGGGAGCAAACAGGAUUAGAUACCCCUGUAGUC